Cyprinus carpio carpio is the source of this 854-nucleotide long non-coding RNA. The record is from Ensembl. NCBI's taxonomy places the organism in Eukaryota, Metazoa, Chordata, Actinopteri, Cypriniformes, Cyprinidae.
CCACUAUUUGUCCACUUUUCCACUAUUUUUAUAGAACGUCCCCAAACGGGUCCCAAAGGCUGGGGGCGGGCUUCCCCGGCCCCCGGGCGCUCACCGGCGCCCCCUCUGGCCAUUUCGUGACCGCCGACACAAAACGCUCCGAUCGGCCCGCGCUCUCGGCGGGGUGCUUGGGGGGGGCCCACGGACCCCCCUGUGAAAUUUGGGACCCCUGGGACUUUUCUAAAAAAAUCCCACCUGCCAUUUAUUGAAUGGGUUCGGCCUAGCGGUUUCGUGGACACGGCUCGCGAGGGUCCGAUCGGGCCGAAUUUCGGAUAUUUGUCUCGGGGGGACCCCCUUAACCGGGCGAGAAAGUAUGGUGGCCAAACGACCAUCUUUAGGGGUCAAAAGGUCAUAAAAGGGAGCGCACUUCCACCAAACUGGUACGCGUUUAAAUUGGAGGUGGGACGUUCACCGUUCGGAGACUAAAGGUCAUAGGGCCCCGAGAUUUGAGAUUCUGGCAUCUCAGGGGCCCCUCACCCGAGGCCCCGAAGCACGUAGCCGUAGGACCUUGCGAAAAAAAGUGCAUCGCACUAGGGCCCCGCGCUUUUGACUGCACGCUCUGGGGGCCCCCAGGAGCCACCGAGCCAAGUUUCGGGCUCCUGGGACGUUUCUAAAAAAAUCCCACCUGCAAUUUAUUUGAAUGGGUUCGGCCUAGCGGUUUCGUGGACACGGCUCGCGAGGGUCCGAUCGGGCCGAAUUUGGGAUAUUUGUCUCGGGGGGACCCCCUUAACCGGGCGGGAAAGUAUGGUGGCCAAACGACCUUCUUUAGGGGUCAAAGGGUCAAAAUAGUGUGCGCACGUCCACCAAACUGGUAC